Molecule: ribosomal RNA, 460 nt
Filed under: uncultured bacterium
Lineage: Bacteria
Description: partial 16S ribosomal RNA
Rfam family: Bacterial small subunit ribosomal RNA
Source: RNAcentral
CCUACGGGUGACAGCAGUGAGGAAUAUUGGUCAAUGGACGGAAGUCUGAACCAGCCAUGCCGCGUGCAGGAAGACGGCUCUAUGAGUUGUAAACUGCUUUUGUACAAGGGUAAACCUGAAUACGUGUAUUCAGCUGAAAGUACUGUACGAAUAAGGAUCGGCUAACUCCGUGCCAGCAGCCGCGGUAAUACGGAGGAUCCAAGCGUUAUCCGGAUUUAUUGGGUUUAAGGGGUGCGUAGGCGGAAUGAUAAUUUAGGGGUGAAAUGCCCGGCCGUAACGGGGGAACGGCCUUUAAUACUGUUGAUCUAGAGAGUGGAUGCGGUAGGCGGAAUGUAUGGUGUAGCGGUGAAAUGCUUAGAGAUCAUACAGAACACCGAUUGCGAAGGCAGCUAACCAAUCUAUAUCUGACGUUGAGGCACGAAAGCGUGGGGAGCAAACAGGAUUAGAUACCCUUGUAGUC